GUGCUCCCCCGCCAAUUCCUUCAGCGCUUUGAUGAGCCGCUGAUUGUCGCGCUGAUGAAGCCCGAUGCUCGGUUCAUCGAGUAUGUAAGUGAUGCCAACCAACUGCGAUCCGAUCUGCGAGGCAAGGCGUAUCCGCUGCGACUCCCCUCCCGAAAGCGAACGCGAUGGCCGGUUGAGCGUGAGGUAUUCAAGUCCCACAUCCAGCAGGAAUCCGAUCCGCGACCGGAUCUCUUUGAUCACUUCUUUUCCGAUCGUCCAUUGUUUUUCCGAGAGAUCUUUCUUCAGAUCAGCGAACCAGUCGCGGAGAUCUGAAAUGCUCAGAGCUGAAAGCUCCGCAAUGUUCUUACCGGCAAUCCGGAAGAAUAAUGACUCCUUCUUUAGCCUGGUGCCCUGGCAAACCGGGCAAGUAACCAUAUCCAUAAAUUCUUCGGCUCAUCUUCGUAAACCAUCCGACGAAGUAUCGCGGUAGUACCGGUAAAUCAUGUUGAUCAAUCCUUCAAACCCGGUGGAAUACGACUGCUCGCCGAUGUCAUCAAACUGAAGGGAGAUGUUCACUUUCUCCUCUUUCGAUCCAUACAAAAUCAGGUUCAAUGCUUCCGGCGGGAUCAACCGGAG
RNAcentral lists this ribosomal RNA (615 nucleotides) under uncultured archaeon. RNAcentral describes it as "partial 16S ribosomal RNA". The record is from RNAcentral.